Molecule: transfer RNA, 69 nt
Filed under: Chelon auratus (golden grey mullet)
Lineage: Eukaryota; Metazoa; Chordata; Actinopteri; Mugiliformes; Mugilidae
Description: tRNA-Phe
Rfam family: tRNA
About the family: Transfer RNA (tRNA) molecules are approximately 80 nucleotides in length.
Source: RNAcentral
GCUAUCGUAGCUUAACUAAAGCAUAACACUGAAGAUGUUAAGAUGGACCUUAAAACUGUUCCGAAAGCA